Oreochromis aureus is the source of this 1290-nucleotide long non-coding RNA. The record is from Ensembl. NCBI's taxonomy places the organism in Eukaryota, Metazoa, Chordata, Actinopteri, Cichliformes, Cichlidae.
CUUAGUCUGUCUUGUUGGACAAACUGGAAGAAAUGAUUUAAGGACUUAGUCACAGAACAGAGAUUCAAAUCUCCAAAAUCCAACUGGCUGCGUCAGGGCAUAUAGUCUGAAACUCUGCACAGUUUCCUGUUUGAAGCUGCUUCCUGUUGGCUUCAGCUGUUUGGAGUUUCCAUUUUCUAAACUUCUACAUUCUGAACCUUAUUCAGCUCUGAACAGAUUAUGAAACACUGAAUGAUUUCAAGCUCACACUUUGUCUAAUAAACUUACACAUUUCAUUCUUUAUACAGAUUGAUAGACUGUGGUUUGUCAGGGAUCAGCUGUGAAUAUCUGGCAGCAGCUCUGAAGUCCAACCCCUCCCAUCUGAGAGAGCUGGACCUGAAAAGAAACAACCUGGGGGAUCCAGAUGUGAAGCAGCUGUCUGAUCUUCAGCAGAGUCCAGACUGCAGACUGGAGACUCUGAGGUCAGUAGAGUGAUGGAGUGAGUGGGUGGUGCUCUCAGCAGUAUUGUACUAAACAAAGUUAGUAUGAAACAAAGAUCCAGUGUUUCCUGUAAAGCUGCAGCUUCUCAGUGAAGCUGUGAGAGGAGAAUGGUGACAGGCUUCAGGAUUGGACACAAACACUGCCUGUUUCUGCCUUCAUGGUGACCAUAGUAACGGCUGACACACUCUGAUCAAACACUGUCAACAGCCAAUCAGCUCUCUGAACAAAGCAGCACGCAGACCAAUGACUGCAUUCAUUUCCAGGUUUAAAGCAGUGAAGAACACAGACUGUAGGUUGAAUAGCAGCAGCAGCUUGUGUGACUGACAGAGGAAUGAGAAGAAGUGCAGAUGACUGUCAGUGCUGCAGAGUGAACUGCUCUGAGAACAGCUCCACUGUCAGACACAAUGUAGAGUCCAGCAUCAUCCCUGUGUGUCCCUCUGGAUCUGACAGAGGAUCAUCAGUGUAUCUGGACUGCUCUGUCCUUCUACAGUCUCUGCACAGUCUGACUCUGGCUUCAGACCCUCCUGGAACAAACUCACCUGGAAAGGCUUUAAACACCUUUGAAUAAUAAACAUGUUUUUAUAAGACAAAUAUCAUGUUUUCAUGUAUGUGUGCAGUUUGAGCCUCGGUGGACGAAUCAGUGCUUAAUGUUUAAUGUGGAUACUAAUGAUCAAUAAAUGUGCUGAUUGGAAUCAAAGGAAUGACUCGGACUGAAUCUUUUCCUGCUUUUCUGUCAUGUGGAUCUGAUCCAGACCUCCAGCUUCUGCCCUCCACCUCACAUUAGUCACCCAGCACAGCAGUUUUCCCAUU